Molecule: ribosomal RNA, 443 nt
Filed under: uncultured bacterium
Lineage: Bacteria
Description: bacterial SSU rRNA
Rfam family: Bacterial small subunit ribosomal RNA
Source: RNAcentral
CCUACGGGGGGCUGCAGCCGAGAAUAUUCGACAAUGGGCGAAAGCCUGAUCGAGCGAUACCGCGUGGUGGAUGAAGUGCUUCGGCACGUAAACAUCUUUUAUGGAGGAGGAAGUUAUUGACGUUACUCCAUGAAUAAGGGGCUCCUAACUCUGUGCCAGCAGGAGCGGUAAUACAGAGGCCCCGAGCAUUAUCCGGAAUUACUGGGCGUAAAGAGUGCGUAGGUGGUCGUAUUAGUCGUUCGUUAAAACCCCCGGCUCAACCGGGGAGCGGCGAGCGAAACGGUACGACUAGAGAGCGUGAGAGGUCUGUGGAACUCUAGGUGUAGGGGUGAAAUCCGUUGAUAUCUAGGGGAACACCGAAAGCGAAGGCAGCAGACUGGCGCGUUUCUGACACUCAAGCACGAAAGCGUGGGUAGCGAACGGGAUUAGAUACCCUUGUAGUC